Molecule: ribosomal RNA, 465 nt
Filed under: uncultured bacterium
Lineage: Bacteria
Description: partial 16S ribosomal RNA
Rfam family: Bacterial small subunit ribosomal RNA
Source: RNAcentral
CCUACGGGAGGCAGCAGUGAGGAAUAUUGCUCAAUGGGCGAAAGCCUGACGCAGCGACGCCGCGUGAGGGAUGAAGGUCUUCGGAUCGUAAACCUCUGUCAGCAGGGAAGAACGGUCACUGUGCUAAUCAGCAGUGCAUUUACGGUACCUGCAAAGGAAGCAUCGGCUAACUCCGUGCCAGCAGCCGCGGUAAUACGGAGGAGCCGAGCGUUAAUCGGAAUUACUGGGCGUAAAGCGCUCGUAGGCGGUAUGUCAAGUCAAGGGUGAAAUCCCCGCGCUCAACGUGGGAACUGCCUUUGAAACUGGCAAACUGGAGUGUGUGUGAGGAUAGUGGAAUGCCAGGUGUAGGAGUGAAAUCCGUAGAUAUCUGGAGGAACAUCAGUGGCGAAGGCGACUAUCUGGCACAUAACUGACGCUGAGGAGCGAAAGCGUGGGUAGCAAACAGGAUUAGAUACCCGAGUAGUC